This 862-nucleotide long non-coding RNA is filed under the name Rhinolophus ferrumequinum (greater horseshoe bat). Its description in RNAcentral is "lncRNA (ENSRFEG00010005477.1)". The record is from RNAcentral. Lineage: Eukaryota; Metazoa; Chordata; Mammalia; Chiroptera; Rhinolophidae.
GUCGAUCGGCGCCGCCGGACAGCGAGGCCACGAGAGCGCGCGUAGUCCGCCCCGCCCUUAUAAACCCGGCCGCCGCGCGCGUGCCCGCCCGCGUUCGCCCUUGAUUGGCCGAUGGACUCUAGGGCUCGCCUCCGCCGCACUCGGAUUGGAUGUCCACACUAGCCCCGGCCCCCGAUUCAGAAUAGCUACGGAGGCCACCUUCGCCCUCUCCCGGGAUUGGCCGAGGAGCUCGCGCUCGCGCUCUUCCCCAGCCUCUCAUUGGCUUCCGGCGAAGAACUUUCUCUGCCUCGACUUGUAACUGGUGGCUUUCUCCCACACUUUCUGCAGGUCAGGAAUGGCUGCCACCUUCGGAGGCCCGAGCUCUGCGGCUCCUGAUUGGCCAAGUGAUGCGCGCACCCCGCGCAAUCCUUCGUCGAACGUGGCAGUGGGGAGGAGUCCCCAGCCGAGGGGCGGAGCUGCGUCUGCGCCUCCGAAACCCCUCGUGUUGCAUUCUGACUGGACCGCGUACCCGUAGCUGGCACCGCCCUCCCGGCUCGCGGGGCGGAAUCUGGGCUGACGCAACUUCCGGCGCGCGUGAGAUCCCACGAAUCUGUGCGAUGCUUCUCAGGCGCUGGGUGGCAGCCACGAAAGAAUCCCCGACCCCACGCAGCUCCAGACCCGCUCUGUGCAACCGGUGGACCCCUAGCUGCCACCGAGGCUGCUGAGCGCUUGAAGUCUGGCUGGCGCUACUAAAACGGGCCCUGAGUGUAACACCCACCCGACUCAAAACUAAGAAUACGGGCAAAAGAAUGUACGAUAUUUUCACAUGUUCAAAUAUUUUGGGCUAAAAACAUUAAAUACAUUGGGUUAAGUACAAAUACUC